RNAcentral lists this ribosomal RNA (354 nucleotides) under uncultured Streptococcus sp. RNAcentral's name for it is "bacterial SSU rRNA". It matches the Rfam family "Bacterial small subunit ribosomal RNA", at positions 1027 to 1382 of the family's 1533-position model. The record is from RNAcentral. Lineage: Bacteria; Bacillati; Bacillota; Bacilli; Lactobacillales; Streptococcaceae.
AUCGGUGACAGGUGGUGCAUGGUUGUCGUCGGCUCGUGUCGUGAGAUGUUGGGUUAAGUCCCGCAACGAGCGCAACCCCUAUUGUUAGUUGCCAUCAUUCAGUUGGGCACUCUAGCGAGACUGCCGGUAAUAAACCGGAGGAAGGUGGGGAUGACGUCAAAUCAUCAUGCCCCUUAUGACCUGGGCUACACACGUGCUACAAUGGUUGGUACAACGAGUUGCGAGUCGGUGACGGCGAGCUAAUCUCUUAAAGCCAAUCUCAGUUCGGAUUGUAGGCUGCAACUCGCCUACAUGAAGUCGGAAUCGCUAGUAAUCGCGGAUCAGCACGCCGCGGUGAAUACGUUCCCGGGCCUU